AUAAGAUUAAAAACAAAGAAAUGGGAUUAACAAUAAAUAACCAUCAUUAAGUAAAAUUAAUGAGGGGUUAAUAAAUGAAAAUCAAGAACAUGUUUGGGCUAUGGAUUUUGUUAACGUGAACUAGGGUGGUGAGAAGGCUCUUGGGCCAGAAGCCCAAUUCCAACAAGACUCCAAGAACGGGUUUAGUACCACUUUCCCAUCGUUCGAAAAAUCUCAUGUCUAAAUGAUCCCAGGUUAGCGCGUGAAGGCUCCUUCGCAGCACCAUCACUCUCACUUCGUGGCACGAGUACUCAGGUUCCCAAUGCUUCGAUUCCGUGCGAACGAUCCAAGAAUGUCAACGAAAAAUCAAGAACAAACUUCCUCCUACACAAAGAAUCAAGAAAACACCACUGAAUCCGCGCUUAACCUCACCACUAAAUCGAAUUUGAAAUCAAGAUUGCGCACGAGUGAAAGAGAUUGAAGAGAUAAGAGUAACAUACCAGAUUCACAUUCCAAAACGGUGGCUCAAGUGAUACUCUUCAAUCGCGAUGCACUGUUGUGGUUGUUCAAUUCCAGGUCGUUGCUUCGUGGUUGAUGAAGAUGAACGUUGCUCCGCGUUCGUGCUAUGCCGAUUUGUCGUUGAUGGUGAAGAGUGAAGCUUGGUUUGUGUGUAUUGUUGAUGAAGAUUGAGGAUGUUGUAUCAUUGAGGAAUGAAGAGGUUUAGGUUUGACAAAGAAGAAUCCCCUUUUCGUUUCCUAUUUUAGGUGAAGAUGAACUGAGGGCUUCUUUGUGGGUUCUUGAAGCUCGUUCUAUUAGCGUUAGCAAAAAAAGGAGGAUCAAGUGAGGGCUCUGUUAUGUGGUUUUAGCCAGAAGAAUGAUUCUGUUGCAAGGUUGUUGAAUUUCGGUCCUCCGUUAUGCUUAUGUUUGUUAGAGUUGGAGAGUGAAGUUGGUUGGUAGGUUGUUUUGAAGAAUGAGGAGAAGAAGAUAGUUGAAUUUGUGAAUAUGAUGGAGUGUGAAGUGAGGGUUAGAAGUUGGUUGUGAUGGUGAAGAUGAUGAAUGAGUGAUGGAAAGAUUGUGAAGUGGAGGGUUCGAAGAAAGUGGAGAGUGAUUUCGUUCCCCUUUUAUUGAAGAAGGUCGAAGAAGUUGUUAUAGGGUGGAGAAGAUGGAUCCUUCAAGUUGAAAUGCGAAUGGGGGCUUUUUAUGUGGUGAACUCCUUUUGCCGGUUUUCGGAUGUCGCUCCCCCCAAAAUUGUAGGUUCUGUUCUAGCCUUUUUCUUUGUGAUUGAAGUUGGUUUUUCCAUUUGUGGGGAGGUUCUAAUUCAGUUAUUCGGUUAGUGGUUUUUUAUUUUUCCAUUGGAGUUUCGGUUUAGUUGGAGGUUAUGGCAGUUGGUUAGGGAGGUUAGAGAGUUUGUUAUAGAAUUGGUUGGUUUGUUAAUUGUCUAGAAGUUCGGUUAUAUCCUGUUAAGUUUGUUGUGGAAGUUUUUGUUGGUUAGCGGCUAUAUUACAAUUGUCGGUUGGUUACAGAUUGCUGGUUCUAUUGGCUCCUUCCAUUCUCUUUUUCGGUUGAAGGUCGUUGGAGGUUACAAGGUUGUUGGAGAAUCGCGGUUGGGGGUGGAUUAGUUAGAGGUUGGCUGGGAGGUUUAGAGUUGUAUUCUGCUGACUGUUAUAAUGCUGAUUUUUGAGUUUCACUUGUGUAGGUUAUAUUAUGCUGUUAUGGAGUUGAAUUUGGUUCGGAUUUGGCAUUCGUAUCGGACUUGCAUUUUCCUGCGUUUUGUUACAAUUACAUGGUGAAUGAAAGAAAAAAUGAAGAAGAAACUGAAAUUGCUUCUGCUGUUUCAUGGUUUUGUUAAAAGUGAAUUAGUUUUGGUUAUGUUAAUCUUACUAGGAUUCGAACCAUUAGUGAUUAGCUUAGUGUUAACGGAAUGAUCUAUUGUGAUGAAAAUUUAGCAUGAUUUGUUAUGUUAAUUGUUGAUAGAUGGUUUGUUUUCAGGCAACAUCUUCAAUGUGAUUCCCAUAGCUAUGCGUCCUAGUCCACUUCCAUGUUGUUCUGUUAAUGGUUUUGUAAAUAUCAAAUAUGACAGUAGCAAUGUCACUGCCUCUCUAGUUGUUGUUA
Molecule: long non-coding RNA, 2091 nt
Organism: Lathyrus oleraceus (garden pea)
Lineage: Eukaryota; Viridiplantae; Streptophyta; Magnoliopsida; Fabales; Fabaceae
Exons: 2
Source: RefSeq, a predicted model, not a curated record